AUGUGCACAUUCCAUGUCAGUGAGCCAUUGGGCAGAUCCCGUGUGACCUGCUUUUCUUAUAAUAAUUUCUCCCAGUACGAGGCCAGAACAACCCCUUUUUCUGUGUUGCCUGACUUUGAGUUUCCCUCGUUUAGAGAAAAGCCAAACUCUCUCAUGGUGAUGCACUUAAUUAUGCUUCGUGUGACUCCUGCGUACCUUCCCCUAGAACAAGUGAGAAUGUGCUACGAUGAAUUAUUGUCACCGGUUUCCAGGAAAGAAGACAGAGGCGCAGCGAUAUUCAACUGGCCCAAGGUCAGCUGGGAAAUGGUGAAGGAGGCGUUUGAACAGGUCUGAAGGAUCCCCCGUAUCACCAGGCCUCCUGGGGGGACAGGACGUAUGAUCUAAUGAGGUAUAAAAAUGGUUUCUCCAAAUGCCCAGAGGCGGUUGGUAAGAAACUCUAGGGCUCUUGGUCGACUGUCCACUGAGUCCAUACACCGAACCUGCCAAUAUUUAAAACAUCAAACGAAUGAGUAUAAACCUCAGUAAGCAUUGCAUUUGUCAUAAGGAGUAACUUGCGUUUUGUUUUGUGUGUCUAUGUUUUGGGAAGCUCUGGGAGAGUAUUUUCCUGAGUCACUGUUGUUAGAUAUACUCACGUCCCCCAGUCAGAGCACAAACUGUGCCUGGAAAGUGUAGUUCUUGUCUUGGUGUUAUCUUAGCCAGUCCUCAUUUAUUAUCUUAAUUAGUCCUGCUUUGGAGUGGCCAAUCCUAUAUCCAUUAAGCUUUCGAUAAAAGUAGUCAGCGGGGUUGGUGCCAGUCUCACUCUUCAGAAUCUGAUUAAGUUUCAAACUUAUACGUGAAUUCUUUUGUGUGCGCUGCGUUAAGGAAGGUUGACUUCGAGUAAAAAACUUCCCAGGCUUCCGGAAGUUUGUCUUCUCAGAGAGGUUAGUGUUGUGAAGGACCCUGGACUCAGGCUCCAUCCUAGAGCACCCAAAACUCAGCACCCACAACGCAUGCAGGGGAGGGCUCCCCUCUCCCCACCUGGCCCCUACCUCCCCCAGCUCAGAAGCAGCCUCCUCUUCCGAGCUGCUGGAGCACAGUUGACACCUACGAAAUGCAUUUUCACCUCUGUUGCUCAUUUUCUCUUUUGUAAAAAGUAGAUCCAGAGCCAGAAAUCAGGCCUGGUGAGCCUGCAGCCUGUCGGAUUUGGGAUGGGCCCCUGUCCCACAGCCCUGGCCUGCCAAAGCACCCUGGAGAGUUCUGUCCUCAGCAACUGCCAAGUGUCAUCACAAAAAAAAAAAAAAAAAAAAAGGCAAAAAAGGAUAGUAAAGGUGGUCAGGCGAUUUAUUCGCCACUC
This 1333-nucleotide long non-coding RNA is filed under the name Vulpes vulpes (red fox). RNAcentral describes it as "lncRNA (ENSVVUG00000016554.1)". Lineage: Eukaryota; Metazoa; Chordata; Mammalia; Carnivora; Canidae. The record is from RNAcentral.